GAGAAAACUCCUUCACCUCGUCUCUCUCCUUUAGUUCGUUCAUUCACAGAGAAAAAACAAUACCACCCAAAAUUUCUCCUCCUUUCUUAGAUCUCCACCGUUGAAGCCUAAUUAAACCCUUAUAUAAGAAUAUCUCACUAAUAUUAACCUUUUCCAUCUAUCAAUUCUGCAGCAGUUAGGUUUAAUUUUCAAAAUCACCGGGUACAGGUAAAUCUCAGCUCUAGUUGUUGUUUUUCAUCAGUUGAUUUCAGGUAGAUCUCAACAGCUUAAGUGGCAGUUCAACAAAUUUUCAUCAGGGAAGGUGUCACAAAGAAUCCUCUGGAUUUGAGGGACCCUGGACAACCAACCCCCUAGUAUUUGAUAACUCUUCCUUCAAGGAGCUUCCAAAACUGAAGAAGGAAGGCUUAAUCCAACUCCGAGUUGUUAAGACACUCUUGCCUGAUCCCUUUAUCCGUCCCUUGUUGAAAAAUAUGCAGAGGCUUGUAUUAUGUCGUAAUCAACUCCAUCCGUCACCAUUUUUCUUAAAAAUAAUUAUGGAUAAUGGAUUUAUAAAAUCAUAAUUUAGAAAAGUCCAUACAAAAGUUCAUUGGCAUUUCAUAUGUGUUGGUCUCAGGUAAUGACUUUUUCAAGCAGAAAAAGUACCCCGAGGCUGUAAAUCACUAUACAGAAGCCUUGAGAAGGAAUCCCAAAGACCCAAAGGUAUUAUUGUCUUUUGAUCUUAGUUUUCUGGAAGGAUUUCUUAAGUGCGUAUUGGUUCAGCUUGUGACAUUUGUUCCGUUCUAACACAAGUAUCUAGCAACAGAGCAGCAUGUUACAUCAAGAGAACCCUAAUGUUGAAAGGUGUUGAGUGACUUCCAAGAGAACCCUAAUGUUGCACAAAGUCAUCUGAAAUGACCGAAACCCAUUUUUUUCGCAUUUGGAUUUUUAUUUCAUCUUAUUUAUUUUUCUUUAACACUACUUUUCUUUUAAAGUAAGCACAAGUUGCUUCCCAUUUUUUUUCUACUUAUCAGAACCUUGCACCUCUAUUGUGAAGUUAGCAUCAAGAAGCAUACAAGGAGAGCUGCAACGAGAACUGCAAACGAUUUCUUAUUACAUGACAAGUUAUUGAACUAUGUCUGUAAAGGAAUUGGAUUCCUGCAAUGGUUUAGAGAGCUGCAAUGAGAACUGCAAACGAUUUCUUAUUACAUGACAAGUUAGUGAACUAUGUCUAUAAAGGAAUUGGAUUCCUGCAAUGGUUUAGUUAAGUUUUCAUUUUUUUUUCUCCUUAUAAGAACCUUGCACCUGAAUUGUGCAAUUAGUAUCAAGGACGAUACAAGGAGGUGGCAAUACUGAAAAUUCUUUAACUUUGUCGCUCUCCUGGGUCUGUUCCGCACUAAAUUGCUUGCCUGGUUCUGUUCCGCACUAAACCCAUACUCUCUUAAACCACCUCCUUGUAUUUUUGUUGCAGCCAGCCCAAAAUGAGCAAGACUGUUCCAUUAUAAAUCUCUUGUAAAUGAAGAUACUUACAAACCUUUCUUUAGUUAAGUGUUCAAUCAUAGUCAUUAGUAUAACAGUGAGUAUCUUCUUUGUUACCUUUGUUUUUCAGUCGUUUUGAAUUCAUGCUUCCAUAAUAUUUGUUUCAUUUCGUAUGACUACGUCUCAACAAAUUUAAAUAAUAAUCUAGCUAUCGUUUCAGUGCUUGAAAGCGUGAAACUAUUAUGCAUAAGUAAUUGUGAAUUGUACUUAUUCUUAUAGGACGGUAGUUUGAGAUUUACUUUGUUUCCGUUUGUCACUAACUUAAAUUUUUUGUUGCUUCCUUGUAGGGUGGAUGGGAGACGGAGAUCCAGGAUAUUCAUUUGUAUCUCUUUAUGUUAGCUUAUCUUCCCUGUAUCAGUAAUGGUGCCAAUACUUAACCCUAAGGUUUGGAAUUACAAGGUUUGGUUCUGUCAGCUCACAAGGUUCAGCUUCAUGGAUUUGGCAGAGAAGAAGAUUUGCUUCUGCUGGUACUUCUCUGUGCCAAGUUCACUUCCAACUCAGGGCAUUCCUCUAUACAUCUGUUAAAUUUCUGCUAAUUGGAGAAGGUUCCACUUAUCGACUUUCAGAAUUGGUACUCGUAUCUCUCAUAAUUGUGCACAUUAUGAUUUGGGUUACAGCCUCAACUAUGACUUGCACUCCUCAAGCAGUUGAUGUACUGAGCAAAGCUAAUAUUCUUAUUGCUCCAACAAAGGCUGUUGGAACUGAAAGGAUAUGAAUAACUAUCCCAUGAUAUCUUGUCAUCUUCGGUUAGUUCUAAGAAAAAUAGCAGGUGUCUCAAUGGAUCUCCCCCAAUUUUGUUUGAUUCGAUGUUGGCUUGUUGCAAGCGGUACUACACGUUUAGUAUGUCGAUGAUAAUGAUAAAAUAAGUGAGCUGAAAAUGAGACUUUAUUGUUGUUUGUUGUUUUACUUGUGUAGAGUAUAACUUAAUCGCUUAAGCUUUUGUAAUGUGCAUGCAAGCAAGUUUGUGUAUAAUUCUAAGAAAGUUGAAUCCAUAGAAAAGAAGUCAUUGCAACUAAAUGAAUAAGCAUUGCUAGUUGCCGCGAAUGUGUGUUCUAUUCAGGGUUAAAUUAGGGGAAACUAAUUUUUGGGGAUAAUCAUAAGUUGCAGGUGAAGUCUCUUGCUAUAAACCUUCUUAUACUUACGUAAUCUCCUUGUAGUAUACAGAUGAUGGACAUUAUGGAUCCAUUGUCAUCCUACUCAUUCUAGAAAAUGAUCAGAAAAGUUAUUGGUCUUUCUUGCACACAGAUGGCCCCAUACAUUGAUUUGUAGCUUCUUUUGUUUGUGUUGGAUCCAAACGAUUUAUCAUCUUAUCCGGUAGGGGUCUAUGAUGUUCCAGGUGAGUCUGUUACGCACUUAGAUACUGAUCAUUGUUCCAAAUUUGGUAUGUUGCCAUCUCAUUUUCAUCAUAAUGGUGUGAAUGGAGGAUUCAAUUAUGUUUCUUUCUUGUAUGGUAGUUCUCUUUACUUUAUCAAAUUACAGGUGUUUGUAGCUGAACCUCCUUUGUUCUCAGACCUUGUGGGAUUUUUGUUCUUUGGUGCUUGCUGUUCCAUGUUGGAUUUGUAGUCUUUUGACCUUUCCAUCCAUCUAGAAUUCAGAACUUACUUUUUCUGUUACUUUCCUACUAAGUGCCAACUGAAUCUGUUUUUCUGAAACAUUUUUUUGUUCUUCAGGUGCACCAUUAUGAAGUGUUGGGUCAGUUCAUUUUACCGCAGGUGUAUCAAGUGUGUGGGGUUAGUUCAACACCAGGCAGUCAAUCAUUUUGUUGGUUUGCACUUUUCUUUAAAACAUCAUCAUUGGAGUUUAUAAUUUUGUUGUUUAAUCGAUAGUUUUUUAGUUCAUCAUUUUGUAAUCGAAUCCUAGAACUACAGAUUACAUUUGUUAGAACUACAGAUUUUAAUCCUUUGUGUAAUUUGAAACCAAUGCAUCAAUGAAUGUUAAAUUAAAGGAUUA
Molecule: long non-coding RNA, 3465 nt
Organism: Papaver somniferum (opium poppy)
Lineage: Eukaryota; Viridiplantae; Streptophyta; Magnoliopsida; Ranunculales; Papaveraceae
Exons: 6
Source: RefSeq, a predicted model, not a curated record